AAAAAAUGGAGAUCUUGAAUGUGCUCCGUCCAUUACACUCGACCGUGUGAGCGCGCUGCGCAAGCCCGGGGCAGACGGCCUGCUCCGCCGUUUGUUUUUACAACAAGCUUUGCAGCCUCGCGGGCUGAGAGGAUUCUGGUUAAAGGGUGUACACUGUGAAUCACAGUUUCAAAGGAAGACGGCAAAUACAAACCGCAGCCAAGCCAUUUGUAAACCUGGAUUGCUGACAGAAAUCCAGGAAGCAGCAGAAAAACAACCAAACACAAAAACACAGUGAAGAGCCUGGAUUCUAAGCUGCGUGUUAUGGGCUGAAUUGUGUUCGCCCAAAAUUUGUAUGUCGAAGCUCUAACCUCCAGGACGUCAACGUGACUGUGUUUGGAGACAGAGUCUUUACAGACGUAACUAAGUUAAAUGAGGUCUCUGGGGGGCGGAGGAGCCCUGGUCCAGUGUGAGGGGUGUCUCUUUAAGAAGAGGAAAUGAGGACACAGACACACAGAGAAGACCAUAGGGAGUGACAGGGAGGAGACGGCCGGCCGUGCAAACCGAGGAGAGAGGCCCCGGGGGAACCCAGCCCUGCCCACGCCUGGCUGUCGGACUCUGGCCGCCGGAGCAGCGAGGACAUCAGUGUCUGCUGUUGAAGCCCCGGCCGCGCUGCCCGCUCCGCCCGGCGGGGCCCGGCGCCCCACGCCACCUGCCGCCCCAGCUCCGCCGCGGGGGCCUCGCCGCGCCGCCUCCCUCCGGGCUGCCCCUUCUUCACCGAGGGCGACGCCCCCCGGGACUUGGGGUCACACUGCGCCUGCUCUAGCGUCACAGGAGCACUGUUGGCUGGAAGCCUCUGUCCCCGUGUCCCUCCUCGCCCUGGACGUGGCUCCCUGCGGCGGCCCCGCAUCUUCGCCUUCUCCGCGCGCGGGCGCCGGGCGCACCGAGGGCGCUCACGGGGCUCGUGGGUGCAGCGCGGAACGGGAACGGGACGGUGUAGCGAGCAUCACCCAAGUACAACUCUGGGAAAGUACGAGCUUGAACUGCUACAGCGAUCGUGUGGGAAGGGGGUGACCUCCCUCAGAUGUUUGACCGCCGCCGGGUCCACGCCAUCUUCACUCAGCACACGCUUGCUGAAUGCCUGUCUGCGCUGGGCACUGGGGAGAGUGAACAAGACUCUUCUGUGAGGCCCUCAUUCUUGUGAGAGGAGACAACGAACGGGAAAGUACCAGAUAGUACCAUGAGUGUGCAAUGAAAUACUUGAUGUAGGUUAUGGGAUAGACAGUAGUCGGGGCUCCUUUAGACUGAGUGCUCUGGGAUGCCCCAUCUGAGGAGCUGGCAUUGGAGCUGCACCCUGAUGACAAGAUGCAGACACAUGGAAAUCGUAAGGAAGAGCAUUCCAGAAGGAGGGAAUAGAAAGUGCAGAGGCCCAUGCAAGAACACGGGAACAGAAGGGAGGCCAGUGUGGCUCGGGUGUAGCAGGCGCCAGGGAGUUAAGUGUGGGCAGGCGGAGGGCAGGUGACGUCCCGUCAUGGUGAGCGGAUCGUGACAUAAGAUCAAAUGAGGUUUUUAUUCCAGAUGUGGUGGAAAGUCACUUAAGGGUUUUAAAAAGAGGAGCGGCACGAUCUGACUCGUAUUUUUAAAAAGAUCAUCUGGCUCCUGCAUGGAGAAUGGAUGGGGGUGGGAUGGUGAGGGCAAGGGAGAAAACAAGGAGCCCAACUAUGAGGCUGCAGGAAUCCAGGCCCCAGAAGGUAGCGCUUGCAGAGGAUCUGGUGAGAACUGGGCAGAUUCAGGGUGAGCUUUGCGAGUGGAGUCCAUAAACCGUGAGGGUGUGGGAAAGGAGGACGCAGGGUGAUUUUCAGGUUUGUGGCUUGAGCAGCUGGCUGGAUGCUGGGGCCAUUUACUGAGAACCAGCCUAGGAGAGCAAUGUUUCGGGGGUGAUGGUGGGGUGGGGUAUCUAGAGUUCUUUUUAAAUUUCAGAUGCCUUUUCUGCAUCCAAGAGGCAAUGUCUUGUGAACAGAUAGAAACAGGAGUCUGGGAAUCAGAGAAAAGGUGGGACCUGGGUAACUAUGCCCAUCCUUCUGUCUACACAUCCAUCUGUCUCUCUUUCAGUGUCAAGGUCAUGGAUGCUGUUUAAGCCAGGAGAGAUGAAGAAGAUGCCGAGGCUGACCUUUGUGGUACUCCAAAUUUUAGUGAUCUUCACAUUAGAGAUGUCCAGCCAAGGUGACAGAAAAGGAGCAGCCAGAAAGGCAGGAGAAAGAUCAAAGUAACCGAUGUCAUGGAAGCCAAGAGAAGAGAUGCUUCAGGAGGAAGGAAGAGUUGAAGUGUUACCGAAGAGCCAAGAACAUUAGCCCUGAGCUAACAUCUGCUGCCAAUCUCCCUCUUUUUGCUGAGGAAGACUGGAACUGAGCUAACAUGCGUGCCCAUCUUCCUCUACUUUAUAUGUGGGACGCCUGCUACAGCAUGGCUUGACAAGUGCCACAGUCACUGAGGAGGAGAGAAAGGGAGCCUGGAAGAUCCUGGAGGAUAAAAGUGCUUUUCCAAGAGGCAUUUGGACCAUUAAACUAUGAUGGGAUGGAUUUAGGCUCUGAGAAAAGGUUUUAGAGUAAAAAAAAAAAAAGGAAGACUUUCAGUAUUU
This is a long non-coding RNA of Equus asinus (donkey), 2617 nucleotides long. The record is from Ensembl. NCBI's taxonomy places the organism in Eukaryota, Metazoa, Chordata, Mammalia, Perissodactyla, Equidae.